GACGAACGCUGGCGGCGUGCCUAAUACAUGCAAGUAGAACGCACAGUUUAUACCGUAGCUUGCUACACCAUAGACUGUGAGUUGCGAACGGGUGAGUAACGCGUAGGUAACCUGCCUGGUAGCGGGGGAUAACUAUUGGAAACGAUAGCUAAUACCGCAUAAUAUUAAUUAUUGCAUGAUAAUUAAUUGAAAGGUGCAAUUGCACCACUACCAGAUGGACCUGCGUUGUAUUAGCUAGUAGGUGAGGUAACGGCUCACCUAGGCGACGAUACAUAGCCGACCUGAGAGGGUGAUCGGCCACACUGGGACUGAGCCACGGCCCAGACUCCUACGGGAGGCAGCAGUAGGGAAUCUUCGGCAAUGGACGAAAGUCUGACCGAGCAACGCCGCGUGAGUGAAGAAGGUUUUCGGAUCGUAAAGCUCUGUUGUAAGAGAAGAACGGGUGUGAGAGUGGAAAGUUCACACUGUGACGGUAUCUUACCAGAAAGGGACGGCUAACUACGUG
This 505-nucleotide ribosomal RNA is filed under the name uncultured bacterium. RNAcentral's name for it is "partial 16S ribosomal RNA". It matches the Rfam family "Bacterial small subunit ribosomal RNA", at positions 28 to 507 of the family's 1533-position model. The record is from RNAcentral.